Non-coding RNA from Rattus norvegicus (Norway rat), 1687 nucleotides. NCBI's taxonomy places the organism in Eukaryota, Metazoa, Chordata, Mammalia, Rodentia, Muridae. The record is from RefSeq and is a predicted model, not a curated record.
ACAGGAGGAGGCCGGAGGGAAGAAAACAAGUGGCCAAUAAGCAUUUGCCCUUUAUUGGAAGGGAACUUAAUUCGUUAGUAAUCAGAAGAGGGGAAAUUAAAGCCACGCAAGAGAGCACACUCACCACAGAGGCAUCUUAUGGCGAAAAGUUGGCCAUGUGUUGGUGAUGCCAUCUAGGAGUCUCAGCCCUCAGGGGGAGUGGCUGGAGGAUUAGGAGCGUGACAUCCUUCCUCAAAAAGUCAAAACACCCGCAGGAAGGAACAGCUAGCAGAGAAACACACCUGUCCCAAGGGCCAAGUGUAAAAGACAUAUGGAUGAAGGACUCUCCGCAAGGACUAUUCCGUAUGUGCACGGUAAGACCCUGUCCACUGACAAAAUCAAAAUGAGCUAUCUGAAGUGUUCGUGUUACUCUGCGCACUCUGUUGUUGCACAACUUAUUGUCACAGAAAGUUCCAACACGCAGAGGAAACCCACGCUAGAAUAUUCAUCGGAGAACAAAGCUGCCGGGGUGCGUGAUUCCUAGGAAUCAAGUGAGAACCAUUUACACCUGCCCACCUUCUCGGCCACUGGUCAGGGUGGGUCAUUGUUGCAGUUCUUCAGGUCCUUCCGUUGCUUUCUGCAUCAUCUGGAGAACCACCCUUCUGGCUUUCUGCAGAUCAGGGACCUUGUGGGAGUCACAAGUGCUGUGGUCCAGCAGCUACUGGAAGAGACACACUGCCCUCUUAACACAGAACCCCUGAGUUCGGGCUCCUCCCUCCUCUGUAACAGCUAUCCGCUUACGCUUCGGUGUAACCAAAGGAGUAAGGAAGUACACAUGGCAGGCCAUACCGGGAAGUCAAAAGCAAUGUCCGUUAUUCUAAGGGAGAUACUUUGAUAUGAAGAUAUGUCAUGGAGAGUUGAGAAGGGGACACACUCUUCAUGGGUUCAGUGACCAUGGGAAGCAUCGCUGGCCUUUCUGGCUGGAGGAGCCCAGGAAUGAACCUGAAAUCAUCAUCCUUGAGAAUCCAGGAGCAGGGCUGCUUGGAACAAGGAUCCAGGUCUCUGAGGGGGAUGAGGAAGGAUGAACAGAGCUGGCUCUGGGAAGAGCAGAAUGGGAAUUAGGUGCUGCUACUGAAGGGGUGCUGAGCUCGAGAGGGUGAAAAGGCUCUGUUAAGGGGUCUUGGAGAAAACAGUAAGAACGUAGAAUAUCAGUCUCUGUUCCUCCUCUACCCUGACCACCACCAGGUGAGCCAGCAAGAAGCCUUCUGGAAAAGGAUAAUGUGGUAGGUCUGUUAAUCACAGUGUGUGAGUCUCUCUCUCUCUCUCUCUCUCUCUCUCUCUCUCUCUCUCUCUCCUCUCUCUCUCUCGUGUGUGUGUGUGUGUGUGUGUGUGUGUGUGUGUGUGUGUGUGUGUGUGUGACUAUGUUUGUGACUGAAAAUACUGAGGAGGAAAGAGGCAGUGGAUUCCCCCUGGAGCCGGAGUUACAUGUGCCGGUGAGUUCUUGGAUGUGGGAGCUGGGAACAGAACUCCAGUCAUCUGUGAAGGCAACAUGCACUCCUAACUGCUGAGCCAUUGCCCUCCAGCCCUCAACUUCCCUGUCCUAAAGAAACAACAAGCAGACAAGACCUAUUGUUUCAUGGAGCCACCCCCACCCCAAAUCCCUUGGAAGAAUUAUUUUCUUAAAUAUGAAUACAGUUGUUGUUUACCC